UUUAUUAUGGCAGAAGAAAAUGCAUUGAAUUUAAGCUUCAAAGAUAGAAAAUUAAUGUUUUCUUUAUAAAA
This 71-nucleotide transfer RNA is filed under the name Bipalium adventitium. RNAcentral describes it as "tRNA-Leu". The record is from RNAcentral. Lineage: Eukaryota; Metazoa; Platyhelminthes; Tricladida; Geoplanidae.